CUUGGUCAUUUAGAGGAAGUAAAAGUCGUAACAAGGUCUCCGUAGGUGAACCUGCGGAGGGAUCAUUACAAGUUGACCCCGGUCCUCGGGCCGGGAUGUUCACAACCCUUUGUUGUCCGACUCUGUUGCCUCCGGGGCGACCCUGCCUCCGGGCGGUGGCCCCGGGUGGACACUUCAAACUCUUGCGUAACUGCAGUCUGAGUAAAUUUAAUUAAUAAAUUAAAACUUUCAACAACGGAUCUCUUGGUUCUGGCAUCGAUGAAGAACGCAGCGAAAUGCGAUAAGUAAUGUGAAUUGCAGAAUUCAGUGAAUCAUCGAAUCUUUGAACGCACAUUGCGCCCCCUGGUAUUCCGGGGGGCAUGCCUGUUCGAGCGUCAUUUCACCACUCAAGCCUCGCUUGGUAUUGGGCGACGCGGUCCGCCGCGCGCCUCAAAUCGACCGGCUGGGUCUUCCGUCCCCUCAGCGUUGUGGAAACUAUUCGCUAAAGGGUGCCGCGGGAGGUCACGCCGCAAAACAACCCCAUUUCUAAGGUUGACCUCGGAUCAGGUAGGGAUACCCGCUGAGCUUAAGCAUAUCAAUAAGCGGAG
Molecule: ribosomal RNA, 587 nt
Filed under: uncultured fungus
Lineage: Eukaryota; Fungi
Description: eukaryotic LSU rRNA
Rfam family: 5.8S ribosomal RNA (bases 224-377)
Source: RNAcentral